GGUUAGUAACGCGUGGGAACAUACCCUUUACUACGGAAUAGCCUUUGGAAACGAAGAGUAAUACCGUAUACGCCCUACGGGGGAAAGAUUUAUCGGUAAAGGAUUGGCCCGCGUUAGAUUAGAUAGUUGGUGGGGUAACGGCCUACCAAGUCUACGAUCUAUAGCUGGUUUGAGAGGAUGAUCAGCAACACUGGGACUGAGACACGGCCCAGACUCCUACGGGAGGCAGCAGUGGGGAAUCUUAGACAAUGGGGGAAACCCUGAUCUAGCGAUGCCGCGUGUGUGACGAAGGCCUUAGGGUCGUAAAGCACUUUCGCCAGAGAUGAUAAUGACAGUAUCUGGUAAAGAAACCCCGGCUAACUCCGUGCCAGCAGCCGCGGUAAUACGGAGGGGGUUAGCGUUGUUCGGAAUUACUGGGCGUAAAGCGUACGUAGGCGGAUUAGUAAGUUAGAGGUGAAAUCCCAGGGCUCAACCCUGGAACUGCCUUUAAUACUGCUAGUCUAGAGUUCGAGAGAGGUGAGUGGAAUUCCAAGUGUAGAGGUGAAAUUCGUAGAUAUUUGGAGGAACACCAGUGGCGAAGGCGGCUCACUGGCUCGAUACUGACGCUGAGGUACGAAAGUGUGGGGAGCAAACAGGAUUAGAUACCCUGGUAGUCCACACCGUAAACGAUGAAUGCCAGUCGUCGGGUAGUAUACUAUUCGGUGACACACCUAACGGAGUAAGCAUUCCGCCUGGGGAGUACGG
Molecule: ribosomal RNA, 744 nt
Filed under: Nereida ignava
Lineage: Bacteria; Pseudomonadati; Pseudomonadota; Alphaproteobacteria; Rhodobacterales; Roseobacteraceae
Description: bacterial SSU rRNA
Rfam family: Bacterial small subunit ribosomal RNA
Source: RNAcentral